This 1020-nucleotide ribosomal RNA is filed under the name uncultured bacterium. RNAcentral's name for it is "bacterial SSU rRNA". It matches the Rfam family "Bacterial small subunit ribosomal RNA", at positions 483 to 1502 of the family's 1533-position model. The record is from RNAcentral.
AGAAUAAGGUCCGGCUAACUUCGUGCCAGCAGCCGCGGUAAUACGAAGGGACCUAGCGUAGUUCGGAAUUACUGGGCGUAAAGCGCGCGUAGGCCGUUGAGUUAGUUAAUUGUGAAAUCCCAAAGCUUAACUUUGGAACUGCAAUUAAAACUGCUCGACUAGAGUUUGAUAGAGGAAAGCGGAAUACAUAGUGUAGAGGUGAAAUUCGUAGAUAUUAUGUAGAACACCAGUUGCGAAGGCGGCUUUCUGGGUCAACACUGACGCUGAGGCGCGAAAGUAUGGGUAGCAAAGAGGAUUAGAUACCCUCGUAGUCCAUACCAUAAACGAUGAUUGCUAGAUGUUGGAAAUUUAUUUUCAGUAUCGCAGCUAACGCAUUAAGCAAUCCGCCUGGGGAGUACGACCGCAAGGUUAAAACUCAAAUGAAUUGACGGGGACCCGCACAAGCGGUGGAGCAUGUGGUUUAAUUCGAAGAUACGCGCAGAACCUUACCAACCCUUGACAUGUCUGUCGCGAGUUUAGGAAACUAGACUUUUCGGUUCGGCCGGACAGAACACAGGUGCUGCAUGGCUGUCGUCAGCUCGUGUCGUGAGAUGUUGGGUUAAGUCCCGCAACGAGCGCAACCCCUACUUUUAGUUGCCAUCAGGUCAUGCUGGGCACUCUGAAAGAACUGCCAGUGAUAAGCUGGAGGAAGGUGGGGAUGACGUCAAGUCCUCAUGGCCCUUACGGGUUGGGCUACACACGUGCUACAAUGGUAGUGACAAUGAGAUGCAAAGUGGCGACGCUAAGCUAAACUCAAAAAUCUACCUCAGUUCGGAUUGCACUCUGCAACUCGAGUGCAUGAAGCUGGAAUCGCUAGUAAUCGUAGAUCAGCGUGCUACGGUGAAUACGUUCCCGGGUCUUGUACACACCGCCCGUCACACCAUGGAAGUUGGUUCUACCUUAAAGCAGAUUGCUAACCGCAAGGAGGCGUUUGACCAAGGUAUAGUCAGCGACUGGGGUGAAGUCAUAACAAGGUAGCCG